ACAUAUUUCCAAAAUAUCUGGGGGGGCUAUUACGGUUUCUGAAACGAGGUGAAAAUUACAAAAAACCGUGAUAGCCCCCCUGAGAAGGUGCAAUUGGUGUUGCAAAAGCGAAUUGGUAUUUAAUCAACGAGAUUCAGAGACGGAAGCACAAGUCCAGGAUGAUCCUUCCCGAGAAAGCAGUCUCCGUACUUCGUCUGGAACCAAGAUUCAUAACUCCAGCGAUUAGAACCUGUUCGUCUCUCUCUCUAGUCCCUUUUAACAGAUAGAAAUCAUACCCUAAGAAAUGCACGCCAUUAACGUCGCUGGUUUGAUUGACAAACGACUGCAUUUUUUAUUGCAGAAUCAUAAGGUCUUGAUAAAAUUCUUUAUCCUUAAGUUUUUCUACCAUUGGUUUAGAUAUGUUUCUAAUUGCGUCGAGUCUACAUGUAACCAACUAUCCGCAGGACUCAGCAUAAUUUUAUCAUGAGUUGCUUAAAAAAAAAACCAGUUUAGCUAAGUGCAAGAUUCAAUAAUGUGGAAAUUAUCUGUGUACUACUUGUUAAACAGUAAUUAAAAUAUGUAAAUAACAAA
Long non-coding RNA from Solenopsis invicta (red fire ant), 570 nucleotides. RefSeq lists it as uncharacterized. The transcript has 2 exons. Lineage: Eukaryota; Metazoa; Arthropoda; Insecta; Hymenoptera; Formicidae. The record is from RefSeq and is a predicted model, not a curated record.